CCAGGAUUCCCAUCAGCACUGACAUACCAGAGAGCCUAAACUUUUUCCUGAUCUAAGCCUCUUGUAUUUUCCUCUUUGCUUAAAGUAUGAGCUUUCAGGCGUGGUGGUGCACACUUUUAAUCCAGCACUUGGGGGACAGAGGUGAACCAAUCUCUGUGACAUGGUGGUCACCAUGCCCUAGCAUGGAUUGAGCUGCACCCCUGUGUGUUUGCAGCACGGUUGUUACCACUUCUUUGCUACCUCUCAUCUCCAGAGAUCACUACAGAACAAUUGACUUGGUCAAAAUAUUAUCCUGAGUCUUGACUGCUGUGAAAUGCACAAUAGUUGUGAUACAGAGGAUCCAACCACUUCUGGGACUCUUGCUCUCUUAAACUCUGGGAAAGGAAAACAAGGCAAAAGGCAUUUUAAGAAAAGAAUCCUGAGCAACCUGAAGGCAACCUACAGAAGGUGUGGACUGGCGAGGUCCUAGAGAGAAUAAAAGGGGAGAGGAUAGGCCAGUGAGCACGCUCUUCGUCAUAUGCCCACACUUCCUGUCCCUGCACAUUACAGUUCCGCAUUUUCAGCCUUUGGAUCAUGGACAGCCUGGGUCACAGGUGAACUAUCUGUCGUCUGGUUUUUCUAGCUUGCAGUUGCUCUAUUUGUUCAAUGUCUCUACUUUGAUAAUGGUCCGAGCCAUUUCCCUUAAUGAAGCUCCUC
Rattus rattus (black rat) is the source of this 696-nucleotide long non-coding RNA. RefSeq lists it as uncharacterized. The transcript is spliced from 4 exons. The record is from RefSeq and is a predicted model, not a curated record. NCBI's taxonomy places the organism in Eukaryota, Metazoa, Chordata, Mammalia, Rodentia, Muridae.